ACUCCUACGGGAGGCAGCAGUGGGGAAUAUUGCACAAUGGGCGCAAGCCUGAUGCAGCAACGCCGCGUGAGGGAUGAAGGCCUUCGGGUUGUAAAGCCUCUUUUAGCAGGGAAGAAGGCGAAAGUGACGGUUACCUGGCAGAAAAGCACCGGGCUACUACGUGCCAGCAGCCGCGGUAAUACGUAGGGUGCAAGCGUUGUCCGGAAUUAUUGGGCGUAAAGAGCUCGUAGGGCGGUUUUGUCACGUCUGGC
This 251-nucleotide ribosomal RNA is filed under the name uncultured bacterium. Its description in RNAcentral is "partial 16S ribosomal RNA". It matches the Rfam family "Bacterial small subunit ribosomal RNA", at positions 335 to 595 of the family's 1533-position model. The record is from RNAcentral.